Molecule: long non-coding RNA, 4083 nt
Filed under: Homo sapiens (human)
Lineage: Eukaryota; Metazoa; Chordata; Mammalia; Primates; Hominidae
Description: HSALNT0271977
Source: RNAcentral
GCUGGGUUUAGUCUGAAACCCACACUUUUCUCCUAGAUCGUGUUUCCUGAGAAGCAAAUUUUGAGAUGGUUUUGAGUGAUGGAUGUCUACUUAAGAGUGCUCCUGGGAAUAACAUCUAUAAAAUCCUGGUGGAGGCAGAGAGGAGGAGACUUUGGACUGGGAGGGAGUUAAUAUACAAGUUUCCACUGAUCCUGUGAGACUGGAAUGACCCCUCAAAUUUGUCUCAAUUUGAGGCAACUUGGUCAAGCAUUAGUAUCCUACAAUUGAUAGGUUAUUGGGUGCCCAGAGAGAGAGAGAGAGAGAGAGUGAGAGCAAGAAUGAGAGUGAGACUGAAUAUGAGAUAACGAGAGAUGUAGAUAUACCUCAGGAUAUAAAAUUUAUUCAUUUUUUGUGUGAAGUGUAAGAUUUGCAUCUAGUAUCUUUAUUUUGCAUAAGGACAUCCCAUUGUUCCAUCACCAUUUGUUGAAAAGGUAUCUGUCCUCUGAAUUACCACUAUACUUUGUCAAAAAUCAGUUGACUAUAUUUGUGUGGGCCCAUUUUUGGAUGCUAUAUUUUAUCUUUGAAGAUAAUCUUUCCAAAUUUCAGGUGGUUUCUUUAUAAUAAUAAUGAGGCAUAAUUAUGUACACAUUAAAAAAAGACAGAGUUAUUGGAUACAUAACAGAUAACAGGAGUAAGUAAAUCAUAUUAAGAUGACAUAGAUUUUGAAUCAGACAGAAUUGAAUUUGCAACUUGCAUUGCUGAUUAUAUGUAUAUAAUAUUGUCAAUUUAUUUAAAGCCUUAAUUUCUAUAACUGUAAAGUGAACAUGAUAAAUACUGACUUGGUAAGGCUAUAUUAAGUUAUCUAAAUUAUGUAGGUAUCUAUAAUAAAAUUUCUCAGAUGACUCAGGUGUCCAUGACUGAGUAGCUCUUUCAAAUAUUUAUGUGUGUGUUUUAAAUUUUAUCAUAAUAAAAAUAAAUACAUCACAGCAUAUUUUGGAUCAGCAAGAUGAACUCUUUACAACCAAAUAUGAACACCUGAAUCUUGAAUUCAUUGCAUUUUAUGUUUCAAGAAAAUUCUAAUAUACCAUAAAAAAUAGUGUAAAUGAAAGUUCACAUAUAGAAAAAAGGUAGCAUUUUGACAGGCGAGAUUGUUCAAAGUAAGGUAGGUAAGUUAUAAACAAAAUAUAAGAAAAACAUUUAACAUCAUAAUCUAUAAAAUACCAACAUUUCAGCGAAGUAUACCAGCGUGUGGUUUUAUUACCAAGUUAAACAAUUUUAUAGUAAUACUAAGUAGAAAACAUUUGCAUGUGUGUGUAUUAAAAUAAUUCACAUAUACAAUUUUAUUUUACGGGGAUUUAGCUAAAUGUAGUAGUAGUAUUAGUGGUUAAAAUAAGUGCAUUGUUUAAAAGAGCAGUAAUUUUAAAAUAUAAAAAUAUCAAAUAAUAUUUAUAGUUUCAAUAUUUGUAUAUAUUUAUGCAUAUAUACAUAUACAGAUAUAAGGCAUUUUACUCCAAACAAAAAGAAUAAAUAAUUAAAAAUGAAAUGAAAUGCUACACUUAAUAUAGUUUUAUUUAAAUGAUGGUUUAUACAUAAAAUAAAUGUCUUUAAUUUGAUUUAUAUUGGUUUUUAAUGUUCUUUGUGUUAACUAAUGUUAUUUUGGUUGUAUUAGUGAGAUAAGACUGUAAGAAUAAGAAUUUUAUUUUUGAACUUAAUUUACAGUUAUAUAUAUGUAAAUAAUAUUGUGCUCUAAACAUUCUUAGUCAAAAAGUUUCUAAAUUUAAGUUAAACUCAAUAAUAAUUUUAAACAAACACAGAAAUAAUGCAGAAUAAAGUUUUAUCUUUAUAGCACCAACAGUUUAGAAAACAAAUUUAAUUGAUGAACUUAAUUUUGGGGGAUUUGUUUUUGGUUGAUUGGGUAAGAUUAUUCUACAUUUCUGUAGCUUAGCACUUAAAAAAAUCUAGGCUUCCAGAAACACACAUAAAACAAAAAAUCCCACAGAAAAUAAAAAUAAAAACCAAACUCCAAUAGGAAUCAUAUUUCUUAUCUUUUUAAGAGGAAAAAAGGUAUAAACAUAUUGCAAUUACCUUAUUCUCUAAACAGCAAAGGGCGAAACUCAUUUAAUAACACAACAGAUAAAAAUGUUUACUUCAUAUCAUAUUUUUAACAGAGGAGAGAACAGGAAUGUAAGUUUAAGGAAGAAACACAAAGAUGGGUAUAGAAAGAUAUCCUGAAAGAGAAAAGGAGUAAGACACAUCAGUGACAGAAAAAAAAGGACACCAAGCAAGACAUUGUUCAAAACAAUAGAAUAGGAAGCAUGUAAAGUGAAAGACAUAUGGAAGAAGGAAGCUGAGGAUGGAAUAGGGAGAGAAAAAGAGUCAUCAUCAUUCACUCAUAAAUCUAAACAAUCGCUCAUGUAAGAAGUACUUAUUGAGCUUGCUAGCAUGUGCCGUGCUCUGUGACAGAUGCCAGGCCUGUGCUAGUGAAUAAAAUGAACAUGAUGCUUACAAUCUAGUAAAAGAUCAAGAUCAUAAUCCAUUUUUAAAAAGCAAGUAGGCUUUAACAUAUAAUAAAUAUUCAUAGUACAAAAUCACACUGUCACACUAUAAAAGAGAAAAGUGGGGAAACAUGUGUUGUGUCUUAACUCCUAGUUUACAAAGAUACACAUUGGUAAAAACGAUUCAUAAUUUUUAACUAUUUUUAGUGUUUGUCAGAAAAAAGUAUUCCUGUGUUAAUUGGAAGUAAACAAGACUAUCAUAUGCUAAUAUCCCCCUUGAAUUUCUUUCUAAAACAUUCGCUACUUCAGAAACAGAGAAUUUCAACAUCAAACAUAAACAUGCUUAUUUUUAUUUUAAAAUGUUCAAAUCCACAGUUAAAUUACAAUAAUGUUUUUCAAUAAAAUUUAUAGUGUUUAGUCAAGUAAAAUAUGCUUAGAUUUUAGACUAAUUGUCUUAGUCCAUUUGAGCUGCUAUAACAAAAUCCCUUAGAAUUAGUAAUUUAUAAAAAACAGAAAUGUAUUUCUCAUAGUUCUGGAGACCAGGAAGUCCAAGAUCAAGGUGCCAACAGAUUUGAUAUCUGGUGAGGGUCCUUCGGAGCCAGCAAAUAGCUGUACAAUGGCCUUUAAAUCACAUGUAAUAUUCUGGAAAAAACAAAAUUAAGUAUUAAUAGUUUGAUUUUGAUUUAAUUUUUACACUUGGAGAAAAAUGGCUUAAAGUUUAUUAAAAGAUGUAUUAUUUUUGUUUCAUAUCCUUAGGAUAUGUCCUGUGUUUAGAGUACAAUUUUAGAAAGUGAAAAUUGAAUGACCUUAGUGAUUAGGUUCUUCAUCAAUUGAGGUGAUUAUAGCAUAAGUAACCAUAAUAUUAACAAUUCUGAUAGAUCUAUGCAUUUUUAUUUGCUUGAUUUUCAUGUACUAUUUUCAAAUCACAGAUCGACAUCACAGAUGUUCUAAUUUCUUUCUGGGUGUAUCAGUGAGAAAAAUGCUGAUUAGUUUUAGGGUUCAUCAGUCUUUUUUUUUUUUUGACCUCCUUUUUAUUGUAGCAAUAUUCACAAAAGCCAAAAGGCUGAAACAAUCCAGAUGUUUCUUGACUGAUGAACACAUCAAAAAAUUUGACAUGUACGUACAAUGAAAUAUUAUUCACCCUUAAAAGAAGUCUUGUCACAUUUUAAGAUAAACUUUGAGAAUAUUAUGUCAAUGGAAAUAAGCCAGUAACAAAAUGAUGGAUACAAUAUAAUUCUACUUAUGUGAGAUGUCUUAAGUAGUCACACACAUAGAAACAGAAAGUGGGAGGAAGGUGUUUGCAAGCGUUGAAGAGAGAGUAAAAUGGGCUGUUGUCACUUAAGGGUAUUGAGUUUUAGUUUUACAAGAUGUAAAAUUUCUAGAGGUCUUUUGCAUAAUAAUGUGAAUAUACUUAACAUGCCUGAGAUAUACAAUUGUUUUUGAGACAGGGUUUCACUUUGUCACCCAGGCUGGAAUGCAGUGGCACAAUCACAGCUCACUGCAGCCUCAAACUUUCAAGCUCAAGUGAUUCUUUUUUCUCAGUCUCCCAAGUAGCUGGGACCACAUGUGCACACCACCAUGCCUGGCUAUUUUAAAAAAAUUUUGGCUG